Molecule: ribosomal RNA, 253 nt
Filed under: uncultured bacterium
Lineage: Bacteria
Description: partial 16S ribosomal RNA
Rfam family: Bacterial small subunit ribosomal RNA
Source: RNAcentral
UACGAAGGGUGCAAGCGUUACUCGGAAUUACUGGGCGUAAAGCGUGCGUAGGUGGUUUGUUAAGUCUGUUGUGAAAGCCCCGGGCUCAACCUGGGAAUGGCAAUGGAUACUGGCAGGCUAGAGUGCGGUAGAGGGUAGUGGAAUUCCCGGUGUAGCGGUGAAAUGCGUAGGGAUCGGGAGGAACACCAGUGGCGAAGGCGGCUACCUGGACCAGCACUGACACUGAGGCACGAAAGCGUGGGUAGCAAACAGG